CAAACUAAUGAGAGUUUGAUCCUGGCUCAGAACGAACGCUGGCGGCGUGCCUAACACAUGCAAGUCGAACGGAGUUAAUCAGCAGCACCAAGCCCGCAAGCUGAGCAGCGACAAGCUGACAAGCCAGCAGGCUAACAAGCAACAGGCAGGAGAAGUCUUUAAGAAGUUUCUUUGACUGAGAGCUUGGGAGUCUGAUAGCUGGACAGCCUGUAAGCUUGCAAGCUUAGUGCUGUUGAUUAACUUAGUGGCGGACGGGUGAGUAACACGUAGGUAACCAACCCUCAAGCGGGGGACAACCCAGGGAAACUUGGGCUAAUACCGCAUAAGACCACGGCCUGGGAUGGCUGAGGUAAAAGGAG
Molecule: ribosomal RNA, 359 nt
Filed under: Nitrospirota bacterium
Lineage: Bacteria; Pseudomonadati; Nitrospirota
Description: Nitrospirae bacterium partial 16S ribosomal RNA
Rfam family: Bacterial small subunit ribosomal RNA
Source: RNAcentral